GACGAACGCUGGCGGCGUGCCUAAUACAUGCAAGUAGAACGCUGAAGAGAGGAGCUUGCUCUUCUUGGAUGAGUUGCGAACGGGUGAGUAACGCGUAGGUAACCUGCCUUGUAGCGGGGGAUAACUAUUGGAAACGAUAGCUAAUACCGCAUAACAAUGGAUGACACAUGUCAUUUAUUUGAAAGGGGCAAUUGCUCCACUACAAGAUGGACCUGCGUUGUAUUAGCUAGUAGGUGAGGUAAUGGCUCACCUAGGCGACGAUACAUAGCCGACCUGAGAGGGUGAUCGGCCACACUGGGACUGAGACACGGCCCAGACUCCUACGGGAGGCAGCAGUAGGGAAUCUUCGGCAAUGGGGGCAACCCUGACCGAGCAACGCCGGGUGAGUGAAGAAGGUUUUCGGAUCGUAAAGCUCGGUUGUAAGUCAAGAACGGGUGUGAGAGUGGAAAGUUCACACUGUGACGGUAGCUGACCAGAAAGGGACGGCUAACUACGUG
RNAcentral lists this ribosomal RNA (497 nucleotides) under uncultured bacterium. RNAcentral describes it as "partial 16S ribosomal RNA". It matches the Rfam family "Bacterial small subunit ribosomal RNA", at positions 28 to 507 of the family's 1533-position model. The record is from RNAcentral.